AAGAAAAUGCUUUCAAAACAAAUAUAUGACUUAUCCAAUAAUUUGACGCAAUACGCAUACAUCGAAAUAAUCAUCCCAAACGGGACAACAGGGACCAACUUGCUAUAUUUUGGUCAUCACAACAAAGUCUUGAUCAAUUUUCGAUCACCAUAAUAUAUAAAACGAGGUCCCCUUUAUGCAAUAAAGAAAUAAAAUAAAAUCAAAUCAUAGACAAAAGUCAAAACAGUAGCAAAUGAGGCCAUGCUUAUGGUAAAUCAUAUAUAAAGAAAUGACCCAACUAAAUGAAGUUCUUACGUUAUUUUUUUUAAAAGAAGCACAAAAUCUGAAUUUCUAACGUUAAUCAAAUUGCAGAUAUUUACAAUCAUGCAAAAGCUAAUAUUAGUCAAUUAUAAACUAACUAAAGUAAAUAAGUAAUACUAAAAAGUAAAACCUAAAGGUUAAAUAACUAAAAGUAGAGAGGAGAGUUAACUAUUAAGUAGUGUUAAUUAUUGCGUAAAGUUAUUAUAUUUUUAGUCUAAUAUACUAUUAAUUAUAUUAAUAUUUUUUGUUUAAUAUAUUAUAUAUAUGUAUAACUAAAAAUUAAAAUAGUAAAUUAUUAUAUUCUUAAUGGGUUAUCGGUUAACCCAAUAACCCAAUAUUCAAAAACCAAUAACGAACCGAUAACCCAAUAAUUUUAUUUUGUAAAACCAUUAAAUAACCGUUAACCC
Molecule: long non-coding RNA, 707 nt
Filed under: Solanum tuberosum (potato)
Lineage: Eukaryota; Viridiplantae; Streptophyta; Magnoliopsida; Solanales; Solanaceae
Description: long non-coding RNA (STUB_LNC007428)
Source: RNAcentral